AGGGAAAUGCCUCCUCAGGCCCCGGGUCCAUUUUUCGACCGGGGUGUCGGGUGUGUUUCUGUGCUUCUUUACUCACUUAUUUCCUGGGGGCUGGGUUGUUUCCGUGGUUGAGCUGGGAAUAGGGAAGCCCCAUCCCGACCUGGGCUUUGGGGCCCGGGUCGGGUGACUGCGCGUCGUGCAGGGAAGGCGGGACAGAGGUGACAGCGGGGUGAGCCGCCGCGCCCCUCCCGGUGUGCCUUCUCCCAGGAGGUCUCCUGAACCUCCGCCUUUGGCUUUCCCUGUGAGCCGCUUUGGUUCUGGCCAAACACCUGGUAUGAAGAGCUGCUCUCGAGCCAGCUCGGGCGAUCGCAGGCCGGUAGCACGAGAGCAGGAAAGACCUCCCGGAGGUCCCUCCAGGCUCCCUGGGGAAAAGGUCUGUCUGGGUCGCUGGGGCCAGCUUGGCACCCUCUGUGGCUGGCCGACCCUCGAGGGCGGGCGACCGACGCUCGCCUCAGGUGGGGUCCAUAAAGCAAGAGAGAACGAGGGAAGGAGAGACAGGGACAGGGACAGGGACGGGGACGGGGACAGGAAGGAAGGAAGCAAGGAAGCCAGAACGAAACCAGAAGGGAAAGAAUCACGAGUUUAUUAUUGGACGACCGAAGGAAUACCACUUGGAAACGCAAGGCAAGAGCAAGAGCUCCAUAUAUACACACACGCGCGCGGGGCCCUCCAUACCCCAGGGCAGGCCCGUCUGAGCAAGGGCCACCCUGUCCUGACAGGUUCUUCUUGGGAGUUCCCUCAAGGGGAGGGAGAGAACCCACCCAGCCCCGGGCCCAGGGCCCAGGGCCCAGGCCCCAGGCAGCCCCGGGGGCCUGCUGAGCCAGAGCGAGGAGGAACCCCUGGGACUUGCUGUUCGAGCAGAUGUCCACAAGGCGGCGCCAGAGGACCUCGCCGCCCCAGGUGCGCUCUGCCCAGGCGGCAGGAGCAGGCUCGGAGGUGGGGCGGAGGGGGUGCUGGGCGGAACCCCCCCCCCCCCCCCGCCGGCAAGCACCCCGAGGACCGGCUUUGUGCUCUGGGCCCCUGGGGCGAGGGCAAGGUCCUUCUGGCCUGGGGAGACGAGCCGCCCUUUGCAGUUCGGCGCGAGGGCGGGCAGGCCUCCCCGACACCAGGUUCGAGGAAUGAAGCCGCCUUGAUGCGUUCCACCGGGAAGGCUCUCAGCGAGUUCUCUCGGGGCUGCCAGGCGGAAGCGUCUCUGUCUGUCACUGCGGUGUCUGCGGUAAGUGCCGCUUUGGGAGAGCAACCCCUGGCCAGACAACAUCCCAGGUGGCACGUGGCACCCAGGUAAACUGAGCCAUACGACGUCCUUUGGAGCCCAGGACCUCAGCGCGCACAGAGCCCACCCAGGCAGGCAGACAGCCAUGCCUGCGGAGGAGCCGAGGUUAUGGGUAGCGAAGGCAGUAAGAAGGGGCCUCCGGGCACGACACCUCCGCUGGCAGAGGGUUUUCAGGAGGGGCCUGGGCUUGUCAGAGCAGCGGCCGGCGUUCGAUUCCCGGCCAGAUGCUGCUGGCCAUCUCCUACUCUGGUCCGCGCCGCGUCGCUAAAGGGUUUUGUUUUUCCUCCUUCUUCUUUUUUAUUUCCUGCUCCUUCUUCUCCCUCUUGUUCUUCUUCGUCUCUCUCCUUAUCCCAUUUAUACUUCGAUUUGAGCAGAUUUAAAGGGCUCUCUUUCCCGUACACAGCAACGGGAUCCAGUCGGGCCGGGACGUAUACCUGUCAUUUUUCUCACGUUAUCCUCAACCUCGUUGCAAAGAAGGGGGCUCGAUGUUGUUCCCUGACCUCUAGAGCAGCACCUCACUGCUUCCACACGCCAAGUGCGAGAGUCUGCCUCUAGGGACCCCCAAACCCCAGGCCUGCUCACACCCUCCACCUCCACGCCGGCCCCCACAGGUCUGUCCUGCAGUCCAAGAUCUUCCUUUUGGUAGAAAGGUCGCAGAGGUUCUAGCCAGCCACUCUCUGGUGCCAUCUGCGUGGCUGCGAAUGGCCUCUGGCGGGGGCGGUGACGGGGGCGGCGGCGGGGGGGGGGGUGGGGGGUUUCUGGGGCUGCGCCGUAUUCCAUGUUGUAUACGUGCCACGUCGUCAUCAUCCCUUCCUCUGUCGAUGGACGCGGCGCUUGUUUCCACGUCUCGGCUUGCUGUGUUUCCUCAGCGCCGAGGUGAUCUGCGUGUCUCUCCGGAUGCGUGAGGGUGCGAGGGUUUUGCGGGGCCUGGUGCCCUCUGGAUAUCGGGUGGAGGGAAAUGCCUCCUCAGGCCCCGGGUCCAUUUUUCGACCGGGGUGUCGGGUGUGUUUCU
RNAcentral lists this long non-coding RNA (2324 nucleotides) under Sus scrofa (pig). Its description in RNAcentral is "lncRNA (ENSSSCG00065029975.1)". Lineage: Eukaryota; Metazoa; Chordata; Mammalia; Artiodactyla; Suidae. The record is from RNAcentral.